GCUCGAUGGCAUGUGGAAUUCCUGGGCCAGGGGUCAUAUCUGAGCCGCAGUUGCAGCCUAUGCUGCAGGUGCAGCAACACCAGAUCCUUUAACCCACUGUGCUGGACCAGUGAUUGAACCUAAAUCCUGGUGCUGCAGAGACACUGCUGAUCCCGUUGCUCCACAGCAGGAACUCCUUUCCUUACUUUAUGUGAUAAUUCUAUUUCUGGGAAAUCUGUAUAUUAAAAUGAUGCAAAACUUAUUUGUGUUUAUAUGUAGAAUGGAGUUGGGGUAUAGAUAAUUUUAAGCAUGUUUUUCCACAUACAUGGGCAUGUGAAAGUGUUAUAGGAUAAGAACAGCUCUUUGAGUGUGGGACUGUCCUGUAUUGCAGGACAGUCAGCAUUCUUGGAUUCCACCCACUAAAUCUCCCAAUAGCCUCUAGUUAUUAGGACGACCUAGAAAUGUGCCCAUAAUUUUACAUUAUGCCUCUGUGGUGAACAGUUAUUCUGUGACCUUAUCCUGCUUUAUUUUUCUUGUUAGUACCUAUUACUGUGUGACUUACUAUUUGUUAUAGUAACUUCCUCUGUUAGAUUAUAAGCUGUAUAAGAUCAAGAUCUUUGUCCAUUUUGUAUCAGCCUGUCAGUGGUACUCAGUAUUUCUGUUUGUUGAAUCCGUGGAUGAAUGCAUGGAGGAAUGGUGAAAAAUGAGAUAAAGAAUCUAGAAUAGGCUGUUGAAAGGAUUCCAAAUUGGAAAAUGAUAAAAUUAGAUUGUAUUUGAAAAUAUCAUAGAGCUGUAGUGCAGCAAGUGUGUUGGAGGGGACCUAGAGGAGAAAUGAGUAGACUACUUUGGUAAUCCAGGCAAGAAAUGGUAACUUAGACAGUAGAUGGAUUGGUGAUGGUGGAAGAGAGGGAUGGAGUGGAUGUAUCCAGUAUAUUUUAUAGGGACAAAUUAGUGAUAGAACUUGGAUAUCCAUUGAACUUGGAGGAGAAGAAGUAUCAGGAAUGAUUCCUUCUAAAAAAUGCAGCAAACUAGUGAAUGUAACAAAAAAGAAACAGACUCACAGAUGUAGAGAACAAGCUAGUGGUUACNUGUGUGUGUGUGUGUGUGUGUGUGUGUGUGUGUGUGUGUAGGGCAGCAUGGGAUGGAGUGGCAGACACAAAUUCUUGGGUAUAAGGUGGGCUACAAGGGUGUAUUGUACAACAUGAGGUAUAGCCAGUAUUUUGUAAUACUUGUAAAAUGGAAUGUAGCCUUUAGAAGUUGUAUUUAAAAAUACAUUUAAAAAAAAGAAAAAAGAUACUUCCUGAAUACCUGGCUUAUGUUGCUGGUUAGGUCUUGGUUCUGAUCACUUAGCAUAAGAAGAUAGGACUUGAUUUUUUAGGACAUAGGGUGAUCAUAAAUCCUAUUAGACAAAUGUUAUAUUUGCAGUUGCCUUUAAGGAAUCCAACUGGAGGUGUCAACUGAGUAAACAUUUGGGUUUUUAUUUUACCAGGUUUUUCUUUUUUGGCUGCCCUGCAGCAUGUGGAAGUUCCUGGGCCAGGGACUAAUUCGAAGCCUAGUGCAGCAGCAAUACUGGGUCCUUUAACCCACUGCCCCAGGCCAGGAUCAAAUUCUGCACCUCUGCAAUGACCUGAGCUGCUGCAGUCAGAUUCUUAACCCGCUAUGCCACAGCAGUAAUUCUUCACUAUUUAUUUUUGAGUGCAUUUACAGUUCUAGGAACUGGUAAAGAUAUGGCAGUAAACAAGCUGACUGGCUUUCACAGAAAUUUUACUCUAAUGAGAGAAGGUACACAUUUUUUUUAAGUUAAGGAUGUAGUGUGUAAGUUCAUUUCUAACAGUGAUGUGUGUGAUACAGAAAAUAUCAAAAGGGUUUUGAAAUAGUAUAUAAUUCUAGGAUGCUUUAGGUUGAGUGAUUGGAGAAAGACUCCCUGGGGAGGAUAUUAAACUGAGAUAUAAAUGGUAAGAAGAAGUAAACCAAGUAAAGAUCAGCAGGCAGAGCAUUCUAGAUAGACAGAACUACCAUUGCAAAGACCUUAGAUAGGACAGAUGGCAAUGGGCUGCAGUUAAUUGCAAUGUGUGGACCCAACGGUAUCUGUAUUCCACAAAGUUUAUUUUAACACUGACUUUAAUUUGAUGAUAAAGAAACCAUUAAAUAUUUUACAUGUGUAAUUGGAAAAGAAAACAUUAUGAUAGGAAAGAGGCUAAUGUGUUAGAAGAAAAGAGAAAAGGCUGAGGUUGUGGGAGUAUAGUAGGUAGGGGAAAGAGCUGUAUAGCUGUGGUAGGAGAGCCAAGUAGGGAUCAGAUAAUGUAAGGCUUUAUAUUGCAGGGUAAGAAGUUUAUGUGAAUACAGUGAGAAGUGGAAUGAUUAUUUUAAAGGUCAGUCUGGUGGUGGUUGUGAAGAGAAUGGAUACUACAAGAGAGCCAGGAACAGUAACAGUGGGCAUUGGCAGGAGUUUAGGGGAGGGAUGUUAGUAAUUUGGACUGGGGUGGUGUUAGUGGAGAUGGAAAAAAAGAAGUUCAUAGAUUUGAGAUCUCAUAGUCAGCAAAGGUUUGCUAAUGAGUUGACUGUAUUGGUUUGGAGCUCAGAGAAUAGGUCUGGACUAAGUUUGGGAGUUCUCGAAAUGUAGAUAGUAAUGAAAGCCAGGGCAGAGAUAAGAUUGUCUACUUUAGUGAUCCUCAACCCCAUGUUUACAGCCAAAAUCAUUUGUGGAACUUUUUCAAAAUAAACUUGCCCAUACCCACCCCAGGAGAUCCUCUUUCAGUAAUUUGAAAGUCCCAAUGACUUUAUUCCUAAACUAGCUUUGUAGGUGAGUAUGAACUGGCCUACUGUGGCCUCUGAUCUGUUGAACAAAAUUUCCUAUUCAUCUUUUCCCCCUUGUUUUCUCUUCAGCUCUUUAAAUCAUUUGUAAACUUUAAUCAAGCAACAGUUAAUUUUGCAAACGUAAGAAUUUGUAAAUCGAUGAAUUGAUAAUACUUUUAGCACAAGGGAAAUGUUUCCCCAAAACAUUGGUUUACCUGGUGAUCUGAAGUUACUGAACAUAAUAGCAUCCCUUGGAACUUCCUAAAAUUGUGGACACGUUUAAAUAAUAUUAUUUGUUAUUCUGUGUGUGUUAUGUGUAAAAAUCCAUACUUAAUAAUUCUUUUAACCUUCUAACUGUGUUUUGUUAGGUUAUAUUAAAAGGACUAGCUUUAUUUGUCUUUCUUGAUGUAUAUGGUCAGUUGGUACAUAGACCUUCAUUUCUUACUUUGAGGCAGAGCAGAAGGAGUAACGUUUAUCCAUUGGCAUGAUUCUCAUUACUUCUGGAAUUUUUGCCUCUUCUGCUUAGUUCUAAGGCUUUGAAACUAGAAAUUUUUGUUCAGAAAUUCUAAGUAUAACCAGUAAGCUUUAGGUUGACUUCUAAAUCUGCAUCUGAUUUACUUACAUGUCCGAAAUUACCAGAGCUUAACUUUAAAAAUUUUAUUUAAAUAGGCUAGAAUACAGUUUCAGAAUAAAUAGUGAGUAUUUUCUUCAUGUUAAUAUGCUAGAAUUUAAUAUUUGACUUGGACUUGAUUUUUGUGGUCCAUUUACUGAAAUAUUCCUACUUAUACAGAAUUUUUAAAGGGCUCUUAAGUGUUCUGUUCUUUUAUUAGCAUGCUUUUAAUUCAAUUUUUAAGUCAAUUCUGGGAGUUAGAAUAAAUGAAUUAAAAUAAUGGUUAGCUCUAUACAUAUACUCAUUUAUGUAUAACUUUACACAUAUAUGUAUAUAAGUAUAUUCAUUGUUAGACUCUUAUACAAUGUUUUCUUAAUUUAUAUAACCAGAUGGUGAAUAUCCCACUGUAUAUUCCUCUCCUCUCCUCUCCCCUCCCCUCCCCUCUCCUCUUCUCCUCUCCUUUCUUUCCUUCCUUCCUUCCUUUUGUCUUUUUUAGGGCCACUCCCAUAGCAUGUGGAAGUUCCCAGGUUAGGGGUCCAAUUGGAGCUGCAGAUGUCAGCCUAGGCCACAGCCACAGCAACGCAGGAUCCGAGCUGUGUAUGCCCUCGACACCACAGCUGGAUCCUUAACCCACUUAGCAGGGCCAGAAAUCCAACCUGCAUCCUCAUGGGUACUAGUUGGGUUCAUUACUGCUGAGCCACAGUAGGAACUCCUUUAUAUUUCUUUUCUCAAAUGUCAUUUUAUGUUGUAAAUAAUUUCUUCCAUUUCAGAAUUAAUAUCUUUGUUUCUAUGUACAAUCUUUUCAAGCAAAAGGUAGUAGGAUGCUUGCUUCUCUGUACAAGUAUUGCAAAAAGGUUAGCAGUUCUGAAUUGCAGUAAUUAUACUUUUGGAAGGAUUGAUAGAGUGAAAAGAUUAUUUUUAAGUAUAAAAUUUUAUAUUUAAUAUUUUGAAGAUUAUUGUGUUAAGUCCUUUUUGUUAUCAGAAAAGCCCUAUUAAAUUGCUAGGAAAUAAACUUUAGGUUCCAUAAACAAAAAAAAAAUUUCUAAUUUUUUGUUUUGCAAAUUUUUUAUGUUUAGCAUUUGGAUAUCUUGGAAAUUAAUUAUGUGAGGAAAACAUAAGGAAGAAAAAUUAAUAGGAAAAUAAACUGGAUCUUCCAAAUGUUGUAGUUUUGUGGGCGGGGGAGUAACUAGUUGUAAGAGAUGUUGAUUCUGAAAGUCUUAUAAUAUUGACUACUGACCAUGUAUUUUGGUAAUUAAUACUCUGCAAUUUCAGUCAUUACAGUGACCAAAGCAGAACGUAUUUUAAGACUAAUUUUCAUGAGCCUUUUAGAUUACAUACUUGAAAGAUUAGCCAUUUUAUAUGCAUUUUAUGUAUAUUACACGAUCAUAGUUUUUUUUUUCUGUACCACUUUUGAUGUAGACCAGUGUUUCCUUAUGGCCAUUGGUAUGUUAUUUAUGAUUUGGCAGAGAGAAUCUGAAAACAUUGUAGUCAUCUUUGUAACUUCUUUUCUUUCCAGAUUUAUUAGCAGUCACUUCAUUUACUUUGAAUUUCAGCUACUUUUCUUCCUUUUUUUCUUUUGAAAGUGAAAUUGUUCACAUUUUUUUUUUUUUUUUUUUUACAUUCAUACUUUCUCUUGAACUUAGGCCAGUAGUUUCUGUAGUCAUCUUUUUAAUAGGUUUUACAGCAUCAUCUUUAAAAUAGCUAUUUAUUGGUACAUUAAUUCUUGGCACGGCUGUAUUUAGGAUGGUUUUUUUUUCCAUAAAAUUUCUUUCAUUACAAGAUGUGUCUUGAUGCCCCUUAAAGAAACUAGAGUAUUUCCUUUUUUCUACCUCAUCUCUUUAAAUGUGUACUCAUCUCUUCAAUAUAAAUGUAUGUCCUUACUUUAAAAAAUAAGACCACAGUCCUAAUGAUUUGAUAGUGUGUUAUUGAUUAUGUGUUCAUAAUUGAACAACAUGAUUCUAGCUCUUAUUUCUCAAAGGUUUCUAAAAUUUUUUUGUUACUCUUUUUUUGUUUGUUACUUUAGUGGGAGAUUAUUUCUAAAUGGUGAUAUUUAAAAUUAAAUACAAUUUAAAUUACAUAAUUGUAUAGAUAGUUAAAAUUUUUAGAAGGGAAGAUUUUUGUUUCUUUUUAGAGUCCUGAAUUUGUAGCUCUGCCAGUUUAAACUACCUAUUCAGUUUAGUAUUGCCACUUAGGAUUUGACACUAUGAGCUGCAGUCAUUCCUUGGAGAGUCAGCACAAUGAUAGAGUCCCUUCACUCUUGUUCUCAAGGUAGGGAGUUGGCUUUCAUUCUGAGGAUUUUUUGCUGAAGCUGCUAAAUUCCUCAGAAACCACGAUGGUGUUUAUAAUUCUGCUUUGUAUCUUAGAGCUGAAUGGGUAGUGACCCACUUCACUGCUUCCUGUUAGGUUAAGUUCAUGUGUUCAGAUUCUCAAUAUACCAGGCCCCAGGCAGGCUUUCCAUUGUUUGGACUUUAGAUUUACUGAUCAUAUCUUCCAGUGUUUUAAGGAAUAUAAAAGUUAUUUAGGCAUAUUUGGGAAGCACUUUUGUAUUUCAUCUUCUUAGAAUUUGGGCAGUAGUAUCAAGCUGCAUUUUCAUCUUGAAUUUUUGAUAAUAAUCAUUUCAAAAUUGUUAGCAUGAAAACAUAAAUAUAUUCAAAAGCAUAUUUGCCAUUGUGCUUUGAGAUUUAAUAUUAAUACACACAUUGGGACCUCAGUGUUGUAUAAUUUAUUAGUGAGUGGAAUUCUGUUUGAGAUAAGCUGUCCUAGGCUUUAUCCAGGAGCAUCAGAAGUUCUUUUACAGUACGAACACCAAUUGUAGCUAUGUGGGAAUAUUAAAGGAUUGUUGGUGUGUCUCAUUACAUGAAACAAAGUCAAUAAGGAGUCUAAGAUUAGAAAUUUUUUGAACUUUUUUUAUGCCUUUGUUUCUUCAUCUUUAGAGAGUUAUGCCUUGAUUAUCCAUGUUUAUGAAAGAGAUUUAUAUCUCUAUUUCUGCAUUACUACUUGUUAGAGAAAUAUUUCAAGUGAUUUUCUAUGACCAAAAUUAUAAUACUAAUUGUUUAUCUUAGGUUUAACUUUUAAAUUAGUUCGUGUUUCUCUGGAUUUGCACCAGAUGUCAGUGGAGAAUGUUGACCUGGAAGCCUCCUAGUUGGCAGGAGAAAACCAACUUAGCAUUAAACACUGGUUGUGCAUUAAUCUGAGAGUGGCUAACUGAUGUGCAGGCAAUUGAAAGUUGACUAUACUCACAUAUCCUUAUCUAUUUGUAGAAAAAUAUAAUGUUUAUGAAACACUUGGAUAUUCUGAAGAAAGUUUCUUUAUACAAUAAAAUUUUGAUGCUGCCACUGAAAUUUGUACAAUGUCACAUACUGAUUGCUAUCAUUUUCUUAAAUAAGUGUUUAUGUGAUUAUUAUAGGUGUUUUUACACUCUGCUUGUUAAAACAUGUUGGAAUACAAUUUAAAAAACCACAUACAAAAUAUAUCAGUUAAUCCCUUAGCUAAAACACCAUUUACAUUUCUCCCAGAGGGUAGUAAAUCAAUUUGUUGAACACAAAUGUGAAGUAUUUUACAUGAAUAAGAAAACAAGGUAAGGUAGUUGGCUAAUGGAUGAGUUAGAAUCAUUAAUUUAUCUGCUUGAUUUAGAUGAGUUAAAGUUGCUCUGUAUUAAUAUAUGAUGAACACAUCAUUUGAGUGCCUUUGUAGGGUAAAGCAUAAGUGUAAACAAAUGUCAUAGUAGUUGUUUCAAUAGUAUUCUAAACAUUUUGAUCCUUGAUUAAAAUCUUGAAAAAUAAAGCAUUCUUGUUUAAAGUAUAAAGAGAUUGAAAGCUUUUAUUUUUAAAAUUUGUUUGUAAGGACUUGUUUUGCUUAAGCUUUUAUCUGUCUUUUAUGAGCUUUAAAUCGAUUAAAAAUACAUUAACUAUUUUCUUAGUUUGUGGUAUCUUUUUACCACAUACUUAAAUAAUUACUGAUAAUUCAAAAUGUCUUGCACACUGUUGAUAUUUAAGUAUAUAUUACAGAAAUAAUUAAAUUAUAACCAGCUCUUGAUUGUUUUUGCCAAUGAUAUGAGAAAUAUAAUGGGAAUGGGAAAAAGAGCCAUAUAUCGAAUUUAAUUUUAUAUUUCAUAUAAAACUUUUCAUGACAGGUUUACUUUUUAAAAUAUAUAUACUCAUUUUACAAUUUUAUAUUUUUUCAUUUUCAUUCAUGUGAAAAUAUGAAAUCGUGAAAUGUUUGAGGAUAGUGAGCUAAGUAACAACUGGGGAAGGUGGUGUUGAAACAUACUAGGAGGUCAGAGAGAACUGAACUUGGGAUUAAAUGUUUUUAUUAAUAAAGUGUAUGUAUUACAAUGAGAUUACCUUUGAUGAAUGAGCUUGAUAUUUCACAAAGUUUGAUGUUUUUUCUUUACUUCUCCUUAGUUGAAAAAUUAUGAUCAUUAGCUCUAAGUAACAGUUUUAAAAAUGUAAUUAGGAAGUAAUAAAUUGUCCUUUUUUCUUUUUCUUUUAUUUUCUUUUUCUCUUCUUCCUCUUUUUUUUUUUUUUUUUUUAGGGUAUGAGUAUUAUAGAACAAUUAGACCCUGUAUCUUUUAGCAAUUACUUGAAGAAAUACCAUAAUACUAUAUGUGGAAGACAUCCCAUUGGGGUGUUAUUAAAUGCUAUCACAGAGCUACAGAAGAAUGGAAUGAACAUGAGCUUUUCCUUUUUGAAUUAUGCCCAGUCAAGCCAGUGUAGAAACUGGCAAGACAGUUCAGUGAGUUAUGCAGCUGGAGCACUCACGGUUCACUGAAGCUCUGAAUCCUCAGGGAUGCCACCUGCACAUACUCAUACUCUGUCCAGGGUCCCAGCCUAACCCUUACCAAGAUACUGGUCCUGGUUUGGGGGGAUUCCGAAACCUCAAACUAAUAGAACUUUCUUCUCUUCUUUUUUAGUAGGUGUAGUCCUUCCUUAAUUUCAACUCAUUAAAAAAAUGCUUUAUAGUUUAGAGCAGUGGAAGGAAGGCUGGCAUCAAAAUAUUUCGAUCAAAAAAAGAGGCAAUGUAAAGGCCCAGUUGUGGCAGUCAGUUUUUUGAAAGUAACUUGUAAAGCAUUUACCAUAUCCUAAAUUUGCACUCUUUGCAGACUUGUGCACAUAUACUCCGCUUUCAGAAUAGUUUUGCAAAAUUGUACACAAACAAAAAGGGUGGAAGCUUUUUAAUAAAGAAAUUGUAUUUAUAAAUGAUCUGUAUUAGAAUAUAAUAAAUCUCCAGUUAUGGUCAAUUACUACCCAUGUUGUACAACAGAUACCUUCUAUUUUAGUUGCUAAUAAAGGGCUACACAACUC
Molecule: long non-coding RNA, 8688 nt
Filed under: Sus scrofa (pig)
Lineage: Eukaryota; Metazoa; Chordata; Mammalia; Artiodactyla; Suidae
Description: lncRNA (ENSSSCG00025043468.1)
Source: RNAcentral